GUUUGGGGCCAGCAACGUCCUGAUAACACUCAUAGGUAACACACACACACACACACACACACUCACACACUCACACACACACACACACUGGGUCAGAGAGGUGGAGAGGUUUGGGGCCAGCAACGUCCUGAUAACACUCAUAGGUAAUAAGUGUGACCUGGAGGACCGGCGUCAGGUGCCGUUUGAGGAGGCGUGUUCUCUGGCAGAGGAUUCUGGGAUGUUGGUGGCGUUGGAGACGUCAGCGAAGGAGGCUCGGAACAUUGAGGAGGCGUUUGUGAUGAUGGCAGAAGAACUCCUCAAACGCAACGGCAUGCCGUUCCAGCCGCCCGAUCACCAUGCCAACACACAGCAUGUGCUCCUGCGCAACAACAGCCGACCAAUCAGCAGCCCCCCCACUGCAGAGGAGAAGCCUAAGAGCUGCUGCUAAGCCACGCCUACCGCCAUGCACACAAGAAGCCAGUGGGCUAUGAUUGACAGGACACGUGACCAAUCACAAGCCAGUGGGCUAUGAAUGACAGGACACGUGACCAAUCACAAGCCAGUGGGCUAUAAAUGACAGGACACGUGACCAAUCACAAGCCAGUGGGCUUUGAGUGACAGGACACGUGACCAAUCACAUUACUCCAGACUGAUUGACAGGACACGUGACCAAUCACGUCACUCCAGACUGCAGCCCACUGAGGUUCUAGACUCAUAACAGAGAAAGUGAAACUGUGAAUGUGACUCUUUUGCACACAGAGUCCCUCUACUCAGGAAUGUCAUUUUAAAAAUAAAUACAUGUAUUUUGCUUUGUCUUGA
Molecule: long non-coding RNA, 798 nt
Organism: Clupea harengus (Atlantic herring)
Lineage: Eukaryota; Metazoa; Chordata; Actinopteri; Clupeiformes; Clupeidae
Exons: 2
Source: RefSeq, a predicted model, not a curated record